GGAAACCCAACUGCUUUCAGGGAACUUGGGAUUAAAAGAAUCAAACUUCCUAGAGGCAAAUGAUAGGUGAUGGUUUUCAGUGUCCACAAGGGAGACGAGUGGUCAGGCAGGAAAGCUGGGCUUCCCACAGCUUUGUCCUGAGGUUGGGUGAGGGAUGGGAGCUCCCGUAAGCUGCCUUUCCUGCAACUUGUGAGAACUGCAGGGAGUCUCUGGCAUCUCCUAAGAGGCUGAGCUCCUGCUGCAGCCUUUCCUCGAGGGAGGACACUAAGGAAGUGCCUGUCCUCUAGCUGACAGCCCACUGAAACUAAAACUCCGAGUUCUCUCUCUCUGCUAAAUUGAGAUCAAAUCAGUUGACAGGCUCCGAAGCGGUUGGAACACACAAGCCCACGGUGUAAUUGCAUAAGCCACUUUUUUUUUUGUGAGCCAAGCUGAAAACCAUCAGUAUAUUUUACAACUCUCAUUAUAACCAUUUUGUGUCUACCUCCAUGUUCACAGUGCUGUCCAAACGUGGACUUCAGGAACGCUGGAGCGGUGCGUGGCUGAUGGGAGGACAGCUGUGGAUGUGUGUGCUGCAGCAGGAACACCUUUGGGAUUUGGGAGCCCAGCCCUACAGAGAUGCUCCUGCACUCAGACUGGGGGAGAAGGAGGCUCUGGCAGUGGGCGCCUUGGCAAGACUCGGUUAACUUCUGAAGAGGAAGAAAAGGGCAAAGAGCCCAUGUUAGCCCUUAGCAGAGCCUGGCACAGCACUGCGAGGACUUCAUCUCCCUGCCAUUGCAUGUUGGAUGUUCCUGGUGACACCGGAGCAGGAUUCAAAAGCAGUUUCCCAGUGGAGCAGACAACAAACAGCAAGCAAGAGGAGCAAAACAGGACAAGGAGUUUCUGUAGGACCUACCAGAAGCUGGCUGGCAGUUUAGGUAUGUAAGCAACAGCUAAAAAGGAGUUUGCAUUUAAGCUUCAAGUGCAGCUUCUGGGCUUGGGAGGCUGGGAGGGAGACGCUCCUCGCGAGU
This 1007-nucleotide long non-coding RNA is filed under the name Anas platyrhynchos platyrhynchos (common mallard). RNAcentral's name for it is "lncRNA (ENSAPLG00000018390.1)". The record is from RNAcentral. Lineage: Eukaryota; Metazoa; Chordata; Aves; Anseriformes; Anatidae.